RNAcentral lists this ribosomal RNA (1447 nucleotides) under uncultured organism. Its description in RNAcentral is "SSU rRNA". It matches the Rfam family "Bacterial small subunit ribosomal RNA". The record is from RNAcentral.
AUGAACGCUAGCUACAGGCUUAACACAUGCAAGUCGAGGGGCAGCAUGGUCUUAGCUUGCUAAGGCCGAUGGCGACCGGCGCACGGGUGAGUAACACGUAUCCAACCUGCCGUCUACUCUUGGACAGCCUUCUGAAAGGAAGAUUAAUACAAGAUGGCAUCAUGAGUCCGCAUGUUCACAUGAUUAAAGGUAUUCCGGUAGACGAUGGGGAUGCGUUCCAUUAGAUAGUAGGCGGGGUAGCGGCCCACCUAGUCUUCGAUGGAUAGGGGUUCUGAGAGGAAGGUCCCCCACAUUGGAGCUGAGACACGGUCCAAACUCCUACGGGAGGCAGCAGUGAGGAAUAUUGGUCAAUGGGCGAGAGCCUGAACCAGCCAAGUAGCGUGAAGGAUGACUGCCCUAUGGGUUGUAAACUUCUUUUAUAAAGGAAUAAAGUCGGGUAUGCAUACCCGUUUGCAUGUACUUUAUGAAUAAGGAUCGGCUAACUCCGUGCCAGCAGCCGCGGUAAUACGGAGGAUCCGAGCGUUAUCCGGAUUUAUUGGGUUUAAAGGGAGCGUAGAUGGAUGUUUAAGUCAGUUGUGAAAGUUUGCGGCUCAACCGUAAAAUUGCAGUUGAUACUGGAUAUCUUGAGUGCAGUUGAGGCAGGCGGAAUUCGUGGUGUAGCGGUGAAAUGCUUAGAUAUCACGAAGAACUCCGAUUGCGAAGGCAGCCUGCUAAGCUGCAACUGACAUUGAGGCUCGAAAGUGUGGGUAUCAAACAGGAUUAGAUACCCUGGUAGUCCACACGGUAAACGAUGAAUACUCGCUGUUUGCGAUAUACAGCAAGCGGCCAAGCGAAAGCGUUAAGUAUUCCACCUGGGGAGUACGCCGGCAACGGUGAAACUCAAAGGAAUUGACGGGGGCCCGCACAAGCGGAGGAACAUGUGGUUUAAUUCGAUGAUACGCGAGGAACCUUACCCGGGCUUAAAUUGCAGAUGAAUUACGGUGAAAGCCGUAAGCCGCAAGGCAUCUGUGAAGGUGCUGCAUGGUUGUCGUCAGCUCGUGCCGUGAGGUGUCGGCUUAAGUGCCAUAACGAGCGCAACCCUUGUUGUCAGUUACUAACAGGUUCCGCUGAGGACUCUGACAAGACUGCCAUCGUAAGAUGUGAGGAAGGUGGGGAUGACGUCAAAUCAGCACGGCCCUUACGUCCGGGGCUACACACGUGUUACAAUGGGGGGUACAGAGGGCCGCUACCACGCGAGUGGAUGCCAAUCCCAAAAACCUCUCUCAGUUCAGACUGGAGUCUGCAACCCGACUCCACGAAGCUGGAUUCGCUAGUAAUCGCGCAUCAGCCACGGCGCGGUGAAUACGUUCCCGGGCCUUGUACACACCGCCCGUCAAGCCAUGGGAGCCGGGGGUACCUGAAGUGCGUAACCGCGAGGAGCGCCCUAGGGUAAAACUGGUAACUGGGG